AAGUCGUAACAAGGUUUCCGUAGGUGAACCUGCGGAAGGAUCAUUAUCACGUAUCCACGUACAAACCACUGCGAACUGUUGUCCCUUUUGAAGGUGCUGGGUUUGGCGCGAUCAAAAUCUCUUCUGAGUCGUGAUGGAAGGGUGAUUGUUGCCGUGAGGUACUCCGCAAGGGGUCUUCCGCCUGUACCUUCAAGAGUGGUUAUUAUCACGCAAUCUUUAAACUUUUAAACCCCUUUAACCUUUAUGAACUGAAAUUAAGCUUGGUGUAAGAGUCGUGCUUUCGGGCAUGCAUUCUGAUCAAGUCUUUUAUUACGAAACUAAGAACAAUUCUUAACAACGGAUAUCUUGGCUCUGAUAACGAUGAAGAACGCAGC
RNAcentral lists this unclassified non-coding RNA (374 nucleotides) under fungal sp. RNAcentral's name for it is "partial internal transcribed spacer region". The stretch from base 1 to 46 matches the Rfam family "Eukaryotic small subunit ribosomal RNA", at positions 1786 to 1831 of the family's 1831-position model. The record is from RNAcentral. Lineage: Eukaryota; Fungi.